ACUUACGAUAUUAUUAUUAUGAUCAAAAUUAACCAGGAAUAAGUCAAGGAAAAAAAUUAGUCAAGUCAAAACCUUCAUCGUGUCGUUCAACUGAUGUAAACAAUUUACAGGGGAAAAUGAAAACAAUCAACUCAAACUUGAUGUCUCCCUAAUAACUCCAAGUACCUAAUGGGUUAUUAAAAGAAAAAGAUUCUUAUUAUUAGCUUAAUUAAACUAACCCCAAGCAGAAUAUCAAUUAAUUUUUGAUAGUAAACAAAAAGCUUAUCGACAUCUGGUUACCUGGAUUUAAAAAAGUUAACGAAAGAAUCAAGGUAAGCAAAAAGAGUCCAAGAAAUGUGAUCUUAAUUAUUAGACUUAAAUUACCAGUGAAAGUGAUAGAUUUGUUUAUAAUAAUGGUUAAUCAAUACUUCGGAAUCGCUCGCAGCCCGAAAAAGGUCAAAAGAGGAAAACAAAGGAAACAAACAACAACAAUACUCACAAAGUUUUGGACUCUCACACAACCGAAUAAGUUAAAUACGUAAAAAAAUUGAUUGUAUUUCCUAUUCAUCAUCUUCAGCUUGGCCUUUUCUUUUUCCUCGACUCUCCAUCAUAUUACCUUUCCUACUCUCAUCGGAGACCAACAAUCAAACGAGGAAGGCUUAUUAUGCUUCCUCGCCAAAACCAAUCAUUCAAAUGUACCUUGAAAACCAUGACCAUCUCUUGGGACUAUCAAGUCAAAAGCAAAGGUACAAACAUAAAGCAAAGAGACAGUGAAUCCAAAAGACUUCGUAUUUAACAAUCUCAGCUUUAACUUUACACAAACACACUUCCGAUACGUGUGCACCCUGUACGUGCUCAUAAAAAGUGUAUCAUGGUAACAGUGAUGCGAAAACAAAAUUUGAUAUUUUAUCCGACCAAAAGUGAUAACAAUUUGAUAAUUAUCAAUUUUAAAUACUUCGAUAGAUUUGAUAAUAAAAAUGUUAAAUAUCAAAGUUGAUCAACUAAUCAAUAUCAUCAUCAUAUUAGUGCUAAGUAUGAGUGUUUUUUUUAAACAAUUAGAUUAUAAUCAAAACGAGCAUAUUUUCAUGGAAGGACAAGGAAAAGUUAAAUUGAAUAAAUGGAACCCUGUUUACUGAAUAUACAUGAAGAUGAAGAAGAUAAAAUUGAUGAUAAAAAACAACAACAAACAAGAUGAAGAUAGUGAUGACCAAACCCCAAGAACAAGGAGGAGACUUGAAGAAAAGAUGAAAAAGAAAGUAUAGAAAAGAACUGCCCAAAAAAAGAGAAAUAGGAGGAACCCACCGGAGGGAAAAAACAGAGAGAGAGAGAGAUGAGAGAGAGAGAGAAAGAAAGAACCAAGCAAAAGAAGGAGAAAAAAACAACUACUCCCUAAUUCCACCCCUGAAGAGGUGGGGUGGGAAAUUGAAUAUGUUUUCCCUUCAACCUUUCCUCUCAAGGCUAAUAAUGCAACUACAAGCAAGGGGAUGGAGAGUAAAAGAUGAUGAAAAAGAUUGGCCAAUUUUUUAUGGGAAAUGAAAAAGAUGAAGAUGAAAAUGAUGAUGAUGGAGAAAGGAAGUUAUAUAAAGAAAAGAGAGAAACUCGAAAGAGAGAAAGAGAAAGAGAGAGAAGUGAUUCUUACGGUUAAUUUGGUAACUGAGAGGCUAUUCAUCGAGUUAACAGUUCGUAAAUCUUAUAAAUCAAUUUGCCUACUCAACCCAAACAAAACUCUAACAUUUUCAUCACUUUAUCAUCAUCAGCUGAUUUACAGGUAUAUUUAUUUAUCCAUAACAAAGUGAUCAACAAGAUGUGAUAAAUUUUCUGUCAUGAAUAAUAUCUUUGUGUUCAUUUGGAAACAAUUUAUUAAUCAUUAUCAGCUCUCUCUCUCUCUCACUCACUCACUCACUCACUCUCUCGCUACACCAAUUAAAAAGCAACAAAUUAUAUUAUCAUUUGUUGUAAAACUUUUUCCUUGUUGAUUGUUGAUCCCUUUCUUUUUUGUUUGCUUGAGAAAUGAUUAAUUGUUGUUGUUUGUUGUUCAAUGUUAAAUACUUGUAAGUCUUUUCAUCAUCAAAUUGUAUUUCUUGUUCUUUCACCUUCAUUACCACCAUAACCUCCUCUCCAUCCUCAUCCUUUCCUCUUCCUCCUUUUUUGACACCUUUUAUUUUUCUUGGUUUCUACCUUUUCAUCAUUGAAUUAUAUUAAUGAUCCCUCGGUGGAUGACAAUGAUUAUGAUAUUAAACUGGAAAUGGACAAAUGGUUUACACAAUGGAUAAUUGGUCAGUAGUAUCUUGACCCAAUGACCAUUAUAAUAUUGUCAUUAGUAUUUGUAACAUGAUAAUAUUAAUGAUCAGAAAAAGUUGAAAAGAUGAACAAAAAAAAAUAUCAAUUUAAAUGUUACCUUUUCCAUCCCAUGUUAAUAUCUUCAUAGAUAAUUACCUCCCACAUUUUGUAUUCAUCUCUCUCUCUCUCUUUAUCAUCCUCAUUAUCCUCAUUAUAUUCAUCAUCUCUCUCUCUCUCUUUUCAUCUUAUAGUGUUAGGAACCAUUUUCAAGCAUAAGUUACCCUUAAAAGAUCAAUUUAAAUGUAAUUUGUAACAUUUUCAUCUCAAACCCUCCAUAUCCAAACCCGUGUUUUCCACUGUCUUUUUCCACCCUCUUCAUCCUCCUCCUACUCACUCUCUUUCUCAUCCCACCCCAGCCCCUCGUCUUCCUUUUCCUCUUUCACUUUGAAAGCUUAAUUUUGUUGUUAUUAUUUUUCUUUCAUUUUCCCAACAACCAAACAACAAUUCUCAUUGAAAUUUCACAGUUUUCCCCACUCAAGUAACAUUACCAACAUUUAUACAAUUUCCAUUCACAAAUUUACCUCCAUUCACCCACUCACCUUCCUCACCCACCCACCCACAAAUACACACCCCUUAUAGUCAUGAACCUCUAACACCAUCAUGGUCAUCAGAUUUAUACAUAAUUUCACAUCAACUUAAAUCCUUAAUUGUAGUAAUUAAAUUCACUUGUAACUUUAUCUUUCCCUUACCAAUGGUUUUAAUGACCAUUGGUCAAUCGUCCUAAAAGUGACGAAACUAAUUUUGUCUAAUGUCUUAAAUUACAUGAAAGAGACAAGAAAAUGUUUCAUGUUUUUUUUUCAUGUUAAAUCGUUAAUCAGAUUGAUUAAAUUGAGUUUAAUCUUUUGACAUUGAUUGUUGUUAGUAGAUGAUGCAAAGAGGAACAUUAUUCAACAUCAUCUUGAUGAUCAUCUUUUAUCAUCAUCAUCAUCAUGACAAGAAUUUUCUCCAGGAAUUCAAUCAAUCACAAUUGACGAGGAACGAAGAUGUUAGUCAUUUUGAAAUGUCUCGAAAGAAAAGAAAGCAAGAGAAAAGAAUAUAUGAAAAAAAUAUAAAAGAACAAAGUUUUUCUCUAUCAUCUUCUUCCUCCUCUUUUCAUCAUCAUCACCACCACACCCAACAAUCAACUGAUCAUUGAUUAUAAUCAACAGUCAACUACAAAUGAUUGAACAACAAUCAAGACAAAUUUGGUUACAGAAUGAAAAGAUUAAUAUUAUAUGGAAACAAAAAAGUGAAUCAAGUUAAUCCAAUAUUUUGAAUAAUCAGCUCAAGAAUAUUCAAUGAUAUUAACAAAAAGAUUCAAUAUUUAAUCAUCAUGUUUAUGAUUAAGAUUAAAAUGAAUUGAUGAAACCUCCCAAGAUCUGGAUUAAAAAGAUAAAUCAAAUUUAAAUCCGAUCAUUUAACUUUUUUUUCCUUCAUCUCUUCAUGUUGUAUAUUAUUCACCCUAAUCACUAUAAACUAUUAAUUGUUUGAUAUUAUUGGUUUUCAAUUAUCACAAUCAGUCAACAAUAUUAAACGUUAAUCUCUUAAUCCUAUUUCAUUGUUUUCAUUUAUCACUUUUUCAUCCUUUUCAUCAUCAUCAUCAAACAAGUUUACAGGUAAAUUCGGUUUACAUCAUUUUCAGAACAAAAAGAAAAACUUUUGAAACUUUUUUCUUUUUCUUUUUCCACCAUUCAAUUUUCUCUUUCUAUCAUCUUUUAAUCUUCCAUUAUCAUCAUUUCUUUAUCAUCAUCAUCAUCAUCAUACUCAUGGUAGCAUGAUAAUAAUCAGUAAUCAGUAGCCUGAGGCAAUGGGAGAUUAGAUUCGAGGAAAAGAAAAAGUGAAAAACUUUUUUUUUCCCAUUCGAUGAAUUUUCAAAUCUUUUUUUUCUUUAGUAAAAAAAACAUCAAAGUUAAUUGUUAGUUAAUUUUACAAUUAACCAGCUAACAGAUUAGAAAUUUAAAAUUGACAAUCAACAUAAUUAAUUUCAACGAAAACUACAAAUCGCUGAUUGUUGGUUAUAAAUGUUUCAAAUCUAAUUGCUGUUGACGAU
Panonychus citri (citrus red mite) is the source of this 4348-nucleotide long non-coding RNA. RefSeq lists it as uncharacterized. Lineage: Eukaryota; Metazoa; Arthropoda; Arachnida; Trombidiformes; Tetranychidae. The record is from RefSeq and is a predicted model, not a curated record. The transcript has 3 exons.